AGAAUGGAUCUCCUAAGAUCCACUGAUUAAACCUAAAAGAUUGUC
This is a non-coding RNA of Erinaceus europaeus (western European hedgehog), 45 nucleotides long. The record is from Rfam. NCBI's taxonomy places the organism in Eukaryota, Metazoa, Chordata, Mammalia, Eulipotyphla, Erinaceidae.